This 497-nucleotide ribosomal RNA is filed under the name uncultured bacterium. RNAcentral describes it as "partial 16S ribosomal RNA". It matches the Rfam family "Bacterial small subunit ribosomal RNA", at positions 28 to 507 of the family's 1533-position model. The record is from RNAcentral.
GAUGAACGCUGGCGGCGUGCCUAAUACAUGCAAGUCGAGCGAACAGACGAGGAGCUUGCUCCUCUGACGUUAGCGGCGGACGGGUGAGUAACACGUGGAUAACCUACCUAUAAGACUGGGAUAACUUCGGGAAACCGGAGCUAAUACCGGAUAAUAUAUUGAACCGCAUGGUUCAAUAGUGAAAGACGGUUUUGCUGUCACUUAUAGAUGGAUCCGCGCCGCAUUAGCUAGUUGGUAAGGUAACGGCUUACCAAGGCGACGAUGCGUAGCCGACCUGAGAGGGUGAUAGGCCACACUGGAACUGAGACACGGUCCAGACUCCUACGGGAGGCAGCAGUAGGGAAUCUUCCGCAAUGGGCGAAAGCUUGACGGAGCAACGCCGCGUGAGUGAUGAAGGUCUUCGGAUCGUAAAACUCUGUUAUUAGGGAAGAACAAAUGUGUAAGUAACUAUGCACGUCUUGACGGUACCUAAUCAGAAAGCCACGGCUAACUACGUG